RNAcentral lists this transfer RNA (542 nucleotides) under uncultured cyanobacterium. RNAcentral's name for it is "partial 16S-23S ribosomal RNA intergenic spacer". The stretch from base 212 to 284 matches the Rfam family "tRNA". The record is from RNAcentral. Lineage: Bacteria; Bacillati; Cyanobacteriota.
CAGGGAGACAACAAAAUGUUUAAUAUUAUUAUUUUGUCACCUUAGGUCGAUAGGUAUCUCACGUUCUUAAUUUGUUAAGAAUUUCAUUUCCUAAGUUUUUCUAGGUCACACCCAUUAUUUUUCCUGGGCCAUUAGCUCAGGUGGUUAGAGCGCACCCCUGAUAAGGGUGAGGUCCCUGGUUCAAGUCCAGGAUGGCCCAUAUCUCUAUGUUGGGGGUAUAGCUCAGUUGGUAGAGCGCCUGCUUUGCAAGCAGGAUGUCAGCGGUUCGAGUCCGCUUACCUCCACUGAUUACCACCUCUUCCAUAAUCGGUAGAAAGGAAAUGUUUUGAGUUGUGAUCAUUAUUCUGAACGAAUCUAGCUUCCUAAUGAAAUCAUUAAGAUGCUGGACUCAUUGAAUUAAUUUCAUUGUUUUCAGAGAACCUUGACAACUGCAUAGAUUAUUUUUAAAGACAAUAAGCAUCUUUAAUGAUGCAGAUUUAUUAUUUGUGCGAAUGCAUUAAUAACAAUUCUAUUAAGCUGAUGCUUCAAUUUUUGAAGUUAUU